This is an RNA transcript of Populus trichocarpa (black cottonwood), 2768 nucleotides long. It is a transcript of the gene named phosphomethylpyrimidine synthase, chloroplastic, with no coding region annotated. The record is from RefSeq and is a predicted model, not a curated record. The transcript is spliced from 7 exons. NCBI's taxonomy places the organism in Eukaryota, Viridiplantae, Streptophyta, Magnoliopsida, Malpighiales, Salicaceae.
AGGGGAGGAGGACGCCACGUAAUAGAUAUUCAAAAUCCACGUAAGCGACCUUUUCAUCUCCUUAGUUACCUCCUAACCGUAUCAAUCCCCUCCUCCCUAUAAAAAAAGCCUAAAUCAGUGUACCAGCUCUUCCUUUUUAUCGGUUCUCUCUCUGUCUCUCUUUCAACCGCUCGCUCGCUCGCUGAUACGAAAGAGAUAAGCCCUCAUUUUCCAUCAGAAAUGGCGUCUGUCCAAGCCACUGCUAUCUUGAUAUCCUCAGCUGUAACCAAGAAUGGCAAUACCACUGCCUGCUUGCCACUUGGAUUUGUUAUUUCACGUGCUGCAUGCAAGAAGGAGUUUUGCGCUCACUCUAUGGCGUCGGGAGCCAGAGCUACUCUCACAUUUGAUCCACCAACAAGAACUAACCAAAAGAAGCACACAGUCGAUCCUUCUUCUCCUGACUUUCUUCCUCUUCCUUCUUUUGAACAGUGUUUUCCAAAGAGCACCAAAGAAUACAGGGAAGUUAAACAUGAAGAAUCUGGUCAUGUACUAAAAGUUCCGUUCCGGCGAGUCCAUUUGUCCGGCGAUGAACCAGGUUUUGAUAACUACGAUACCAGUGGUCCUCAAAACAUCAGUCCCCGCGUAGGACUUCCUAAGCUUCGUAAAGAAUGGGUUGACAGGCGGGAGAAGCUAGGUACACCAAGGUACACUCAGAUGUAUUAUGCGAAGCAGGGAAUUAUAACCGAGGAAAUGCUGUACUGUGCUGCUCGUGAAAAGCUUGAUCCGGAGUUUGUGAGGUCAGAGGUUGCACGUGGGAGGGCAAUUAUCCCUUCCAACAAGAAGCACUUGGAGCUGGAACCGAUGAUUGUUGGAAGAAAUUUUUUGGUUAAAGUUAAUGCAAAUAUUGGAAAUUCUGCUGUUGCGAGCUCUAUCGAGGAAGAAGUUUAUAAGGUUCAAUGGGCAACUAUGUGGGGUGCCGAUACUGUUAUGGAUCUUUCCACUGGUCGCCACAUUCAUGAGACUCGGGAGUGGAUCCUACGUAACUCUGCUGUGCCAGUAGGUACUGUGCCUAUCUAUCAAGCACUUGAGAAAGUAAAUGGAAUUGCUGAAAACCUUAGCUGGGAAGUCUUCAGAGAAACCCUGAUUGAACAAGCUGAGCAGGGUGUAGAUUAUUUCACAAUUCAUGCCGGGGUUCUGCUGCGGUACAUCCCCUUAACUGCAAAGCGCAUGACAGGAAUUGUUUCACGAGGAGGAUCAAUCCAUGCUAAGUGGUGCUUAACUUAUCACAAGGAGAACUUUGCCUAUGAGCACUGGGAUGAUAUUCUUGACAUAUGCAACCAAUAUGAUGUGGCCCUGUCAAUUGGCGAUGGACUGAGGCCUGGUUCCAUAUAUGAUGCCAAUGACACUGCCCAAUUCGCAGAGCUUUUAACUCAAGGGGAACUGACUCGUCGAGCAUGGGAAAAGGAUGUACAGGUUAUGAAUGAAGGGCCUGGACAUAUUCCAAUGCACAAGAUUCCUGAGAACAUGCAAAAACAGCUAGAGUGGUGCAAUGAAGCUCCUUUCUAUACUCUUGGACCCCUAACAACAGACAUUGCUCCUGGAUAUGACCACAUAACCUCUGCCAUUGGCGCUGCCAAUAUUGGGGCUCUUGGCACUGCACUUCUCUGUUAUGUCACACCAAAGGAGCACCUUGGACUGCCAAAUAGAGAUGAUGUGAAGACUGGGGUUAUAGCAUACAAGAUAUCUGCUCAUGCUGCUGAUUUGGCAAAAGGUCACCCCCAUGCUCAAGCCUGGGAUGAUGCUUUAAGCAAGGCUAGAUUUGAGUUCCGAUGGAUGGAUCAGUUUGCUCUAUCAUUGGACCCCAUGACGGCCAUGUCCUUCCAUGAUGAAACCCUCCCAUCAGAAGGUGCAAAAGUGGCACAUUUUUGCUCCAUGUGCGGACCUAAGUUCUGCUCUAUGAAGAUAACAGAAGAUGUUCGAAAGUAUGCAGAGGAGCAUGGUUAUGGUAAUGCAGAGGAAGCUGUGCAACAUGGGAUGGAUGCCAUGAGCGCUGAGUUCCUGGCUGCUAGGAAAACUAUAAGCGGAGAACAACAUGGUGAAGUUGGUGGAGAAAUUUACCUGCCAGCAAGCUACAUCAGUUCCUCUGAGAGGUGAAGGAAGCAUGAGUAUUGGGAAUUUCUCUAAACAUCCUUGCAGUUCUGAUGCAUCCUAGCUUGCCAAGAACAGCAAUGAUUGGUCUUAGCUUUUAAGAAGUAGGGGUGCCUGCGUCCUGCUUCAAAACUGGCCAUCUGGCUAGAGGAGGCAGCUGGCCAGGCUGAGAAAGUCCCUUUGAACCUGAACAGGAUAAUGCCUGCGUAGGGAGUGUGCAUUUUUUCUGUCGUUUUUUUUUCUUGCACAGGGAGGCACCUUCCUUCCAUGGCUCGGGCUAGCUGAUCCAUGUGUGCGGAUUCAUCAUCAAGCCCAGGCUUGUCACUUUGAUGGCUGAGGUAUUGCUAAGGGUAGCUAUUUUCAAUCUUCAACCAAUAAUAUAAAAAAAUAAAAAUUCUCCCACGCUUCUACAUGAAUCAGUGACAAGAUCCUUGAAAGUUACUCAAAUAUCAUUGCUUCGAAAAUAUGAGUAGAUUUGAAACUAAUGGAAAAUCAUCUCCCUGUGUAACGAUUGGUAGAAAAACGUCUUGUUCGUUUUUGCCCUCAUAGAAAGGGAGAAAAGCAGCCCUCCUUAAUGGUUUGAAUUGUAUUUACCCUUUAUUUCUUGUGAAGUAUUAUUAGAUAGCAGCUAUUUCCUCUCC